Molecule: ribosomal RNA, 500 nt
Filed under: uncultured bacterium
Lineage: Bacteria
Description: partial 16S ribosomal RNA
Rfam family: Bacterial small subunit ribosomal RNA
Source: RNAcentral
AUUGAGCGCUGGCGGAAUGCUUUACACAUGCAAGUCGAACGGCAGCACGGACUUCGGUCUGGUGGCGAGUGGCGAACGGGUGAGUAAUGUAUCGGAACGUGCCCAGUCGUGGGGGAUAACGUAGUGAAAAUUACGCUAAUACCGCAUACGAUCUAUGGAUGAAAGCGGGGGAUCGCAAGACCUCGCGCGAUUGGAGCGGCCGAUAUCAGAUUAGGUAGUUGGUGGGGUAAAGGCCCACCAAGCCAACGAUCUGUAGCUGGUCUGAGAGGACGACCAGCCACACUGGAACUGAGACACGGUCCAGACUCCUACGGGAGGCAGCAGUGGGGAAUUUUGGACAAUGGGCGAAAGCCUGAUCCAGCCAUUCCGCGUGCAGGAUGAAGGCCCUCGGGUUGUAAACUGCUUUUGUACAGAACGAAAAGGUUUCUACUAAUACUAGGAGCUCAUGACGGUACCGUAAGAAUAAGCACCGGCUAACUACGUGCCAGCCGCCGCGGUAA